CAGUCGCCGCGGUAACACGUAGGGUGCAAGCGUUAAUCGGAAUUACUGGGCGUAAAGCGUGCGCAGGCGGUUAUAUAAGACAGAUGUGAAAUCCCCGGGCUCAACCUGGGAACUGCAUUUGUGACUGUAUAGCUAGAGUACGGCAGAGGGGGAUGGAAUUCCGCGUGUAGCAGUGAAAUGCGUAGAUAUGCGGAGGAACACCGAUGGCGAAGGCAAUCCCCUGGGCCUGUACUGACGCUCAUGCACGAAAGCGUGGGGAGCAAACAGGAUUAGAGACCCCCGUAGUCCCUGUCUCUUAUAC
RNAcentral lists this ribosomal RNA (301 nucleotides) under uncultured bacterium. RNAcentral's name for it is "partial 16S ribosomal RNA". It matches the Rfam family "Bacterial small subunit ribosomal RNA", at positions 509 to 807 of the family's 1533-position model. The record is from RNAcentral.